UUAGCUUGCUCUUCUCGCGGGGCGCGUGCGGGCGCGCGGCGAGCUCGUGGCGGAGGCGCCGCACCGGGCCACCGCCAGGACCCUGCGGAGCACCGACGGGGGGGAUCUCUGCCGUUCUGCCCCGAGAAAGCGGCGCUAACCUCGCUGCCGCUGCGGAGGAAACACCGGCGCUCCGCCCGGGUUCGCCUGGGCGCCCCCCAGCCGCGGCCGGCCCCGGGGACGCCCGCGGGUUCCCGCCCCGGCCGCGCACCCCCGGAAAGGGCAGCGCCGAGGAAGGAGCCCUUCAGCCUCCUCCUCCUCCUCCUCGCCGGAGGAAAGCCCCGCCGCCGCCAUGCGCUGGUGGCUGCCGCUGGCGCUGGCGGCGCUGAGCCGCUCUGCCGAGGAGCCCGACUUCGCCUGCUUCAAGCAAUGCGGCUCGCGCAGCUUCCUCUGCCGCUGGCCACCCUGGGGCCCCGACGGCAACACCACCUAUGUCCUCACGCUCUGCUACGCGGUGCCGCGGCUGUGCCAGCGGCACGCGGCGGGCGCCCUCCCGGAGCGCACGCUGCAGCACCGCCAGGUCUACGUGCUCACCAACGCCACGGCCUGGGUGGAGGCGCGCUGGGGCCGGCGCCUGCAGCGGAGCCGCAACCUCACGCUCUACCUCGACGAGGCC
RNAcentral lists this long non-coding RNA (655 nucleotides) under Apteryx owenii (little spotted kiwi). RNAcentral describes it as "lncRNA (ENSAOWG00000013906.1)". Lineage: Eukaryota; Metazoa; Chordata; Aves; Apterygiformes; Apterygidae. The record is from RNAcentral.